Molecule: non-coding RNA, 30 nt
Filed under: Mus musculus (house mouse)
Lineage: Eukaryota; Metazoa; Chordata; Mammalia; Rodentia; Muridae
Source: RNAcentral
UAAGGAAGGAAUUUCAGAGACUUGAGAUGC